RNAcentral lists this long non-coding RNA (266 nucleotides) under Setaria viridis. Its description in RNAcentral is "long non-coding RNA (SVIR_LNC004972)". The record is from RNAcentral. Lineage: Eukaryota; Viridiplantae; Streptophyta; Magnoliopsida; Poales; Poaceae.
GGGUGGUGUGAUUGGUGAGGGAACCGAUUGACUCAUUGCGCAUUCAUAUUGAUUUUGUUAUUGUUCUGAAGUCUAGAGUACAGGAAAAAUAAUAAAGAACAAGUCAAAGUUAUAGCAAACAAUUGCUACCUUUACUUGCCACCAAUGACGAUAAAAUCAACAAUAGCCAAGAUCAAUAGCACUACCAAAUAUUGAGAAACAUUAACUCAAUAUAUAUAUUGCUACAAGCGUAUAUACAUAGGUGCUCCUACAUUGUAACCCGUCAC